AUCUGUGGCCACGCUACCCAAAUCCAUGUACCAGACAGAGACAGUAGUUCUACACCACCUUUGGGCCUGGUUAGUACUUGGAUGGGAGACCACCUAGGAAGACCGGGUGCUGUAGGCA
This 118-nucleotide ribosomal RNA is filed under the name Pteropus alecto (black flying fox). Lineage: Eukaryota; Metazoa; Chordata; Mammalia; Chiroptera; Pteropodidae. The record is from RNAcentral.